Centruroides sculpturatus (bark scorpion) is the source of this 593-nucleotide long non-coding RNA. RefSeq lists it as uncharacterized. The record is from RefSeq and is a predicted model, not a curated record. Lineage: Eukaryota; Metazoa; Arthropoda; Arachnida; Scorpiones; Buthidae. The transcript is spliced from 5 exons.
AAACGAAGAGGUUUCCGAGAAUGUUUCCACUUUAUAUAUAAUUGCUGCAAAUGAAUUUAGUUCGACAAAUCAUUUAAAUCGUUCGUCGCAAAGAAACGUUUGUCCCGAAGAAGUAAGCGACACUGUGCUAGACAAUUCUCAAACCGAUAAAUUGUUCAGGUUUUUAAUAAUUCUGGCUACGUCAAUGACACUCAGAUUAUUUCUACAAUUAUUUAAAAUUACGAAUAAAAAUAAAGACGGUGUCUUUGUUAUCGUAAAAUUUUUAGCCGAUUUUAGCAGCAGUGGGCAGGCAUUAUUAGCGUUUAUGUGGUUCGAAUUUAAGAUAAAAAGUAUUUUAGCAGUUUUUAAGAAAAGACGCAGUUACAAAGUAUUUUCACUUGGAAAAAGUACCCGGUAGCGAAAGAAUUAUUUAAAAAAUGAUAAUUUUAUAUAAAUAUUUACGAAAAAUUUUGCCAAUACAAUCUAAUUUAUAAAGAAAUAACGUUGUUUCGAAAGAAAUAUUUCCGUCGUCGCCAUGUAAAAACGGUUUUGUCACCAUUCCAAGUACUUACCUAUUGGCACGCAUGGUCAUUUUAGAAAGCCACCGAGUUGUU